UGGGGAAUAUUGGACAAUGGGCGAAAGCCUGAUCCAGCUAUGCCGCAUGAGUGAAGAAGGCCUUUGGGUUGUAAAGCUCUUUUAGUGAGGAAGAUAAUGACGGUACUCACAGAAGAAGUCCUGGCUAACUCCGUGCCAGCAGCCGCGGUAAUACGGAGAGGGCUAGCGUUAUUCGGAAUUAUUGGGCGUAAAGGGCGCGUAGGCUGGUUAAUAAGUUAAAAGUGAAAUCCCGAGGCUUAACCUUGGAAUUGCUUUUAAAACUAUUAAUCUAGAGAUUGAAAGAGGAUAGAGGAAUUCCUGAUGUAGAGGUAAAAUUCGUAAAUAUUAGGAGGAACACCAGUGGCGAAGGCGUCUAUCUGGUUCAAAUCUGACGCUGAAGCGCGAAGGCGUGGGGAGCAAACA
Molecule: ribosomal RNA, 402 nt
Filed under: uncultured bacterium
Lineage: Bacteria
Description: bacterial SSU rRNA
Rfam family: Bacterial small subunit ribosomal RNA
Source: RNAcentral